AACCCUAAGCUUUUUACUUUGUGUGAGUUGAUCAUGGACAGAUUUCUUCUUAAGGAAAUCACUGGAGAGACAUCAGCAAAUGACAUCAAGUCUGUCUCAUCUCCUGUCAUUCUUAAGGUGUUUUCUUCUUGGUUACUUGCAGUUAACUGGUCUUUCGCAUAGAUCAUCCAUGGGUUAGACCUGGGUCAGCUUUUUAGACUUAGAUAGGAGAAGGGCCUGCAGGAAGAUGAGACAAGGCUACGUUUCCAAAUUCACCACUGGUACCCAUGUGAGUGCAUCUAGAGAGAGAACACCUCACCCAAGAAGUAUGGUACAGACCUGGCCAAUAAUGGACAUCUCCACCUAUGUUCAGGAAAGACUUUUUUCUGGCUUUUUCCUACCAUUUCCAGAUGGUAAAAUAUUUCUAGUGCUGUGACAUAUUUAUUAUGACCCAAUCGUCUUGUCAAAUUCAUUGGUGGAUAAUUCCUAGAAAUCAGGGAAAGUCACCAAGUUGUAUUUACCUUCCCUUGACUGGUGGUAUUUCUAUCUUUGAUUCUUAGUACAGAGAAAGCAUGGAAUGAAGAGAAGUGAGUGUUCCUAUUGCUAGAAUCAUUUCAGAGGUGCACUACUAGGUACUUCGGGGAGUUCAAUUAAAAAAAGUUGAUGGAUCAAUAUGGAAGAAAAGGUAGAAGGUUAUUUGUAGUUAGGUACAUAUUAAGAAAUUGUACUUCCCUGAAUGAUGAGAGGAAUGAUGAUUAAAGGAAGAGGUGGAAUUUCCCGAAAUGGUGAAAUUCAUCUCUCAUCUGCCUUCCCCUUCUUUCCCCAUCCUGGCCCAUAGCACCAAGUCACUAGAAUUUAGGCAGCAUGUGGAAAAAGAAGUCCAUCUCUAAGGCAGAGUUGACUCGUUCAGCUUUCUCCUGUAUGGAGCAGUGGUGAUUCAUGCCUUCCUCCGCUGUCACACUGUCAGCAUCCGCUAAUCAUAGCCCCGUGAUCACAGGACUUGGGCACAUAAACAAUUUCCAGGAGGUUCAGAGCAGCCCAGGGACCUCGCAGGCAUAAACACCGGUUAUUCUGUAAUUCAUUACAUGCCCCUCCCCAUCAUCUUGACAUGUGCUUGAAAUAAUAGCUUUCCUUAAAACGUUUGAACAUGUUGGUGGACUAGAUCCUUUCACUGUCCUUGGUACACACAUUGUUGUCUUACUAAGUCUGCUUUUAAAUGGAACUCUUUGGCUGUCCUGCUGAAGCUCAGGGGGCGGGGGGAUGUGUUUCGUGAAGAAUAUCAAGAGGAUACAGUGAUGGGAUUUCAAACACAAAUUGGUUCUUCUUGUGCUUUGCAUGUAUAUGUUGUGAGAGGCGAGAGAGUGAGGCCCUUGAAUGCUAUUGUGAAGCAGACUGCAUAUAUUUGGUGCUUAAAUUUGUAUGUAUUUUUUUACACUAGUAAGUCAGGUCAUUUACCUCCCACUCUUCCUCAAACAGAUGUCUUUAGCAAACUUAAGUUCCUCCAGUCAGUCUGUUUAUUCAGCCUGAGGCAGGAAUCAAUAACUUCUAGUGACACUGACAGGAUUAGUUUCUAUAUUCAAUAAAUAUGUAUUUUUGAUUACCUACUGUGCCAUGCAUAACAAUAGACAUUGGAGAGUUUGCAGUUUCUGUUCCCAUAGGAUCUAGAAUUAAGAAACAUUUAUAUUUGAAACCACGAUUGUCCAGUGCCUACAGUAUCUGUUGGGUUGUUACAAAAAUGGCUGGUAGAUUUUAUAAAGUUUCUUAGUUAUAUUGAACUUCAAACAUAGAAGAAGAAAAUAUUAUCUGGUUCUUAUAUGUCUUAGCUGUGUGUCCUCAGUGAUUAGAAAAUGAGAAAGCUGUGUCUGUGUUGGCUCUUCCAGUGUCAAGUGUUAUCUUUACGAGGGAUUCUUAGCUGUAUAAGUUGUGUUUCAAAAUGAAGGCAAAAUUGCUAUACGUCAUCCCAAUAGACUAUGUAGGGAUUAAUGUUAUUCCUUUUUAUAGUCACAGGCUCAGCAUGUUUAGUUGAUUUAUCCAAAAUCAUUUAACUCUGUUGGUAUGGAGUAUAGGUUGCUAGAGCCUGGGUUUGAUCUCGUGAUAUAUUACUUUUACUUUUUCCUUUAUUCAUUAAUGAGAAUAGCAUCAAGUGUAAAGACAGGGCAAAUGUUUUGAUUUAGGAUCAUUUAUGGAACUUGAUGGAAUUUUAACUGUGCUUCCCAUAUCACGCACAUGAAUCAAACUCUAAUAUAAUACCUAUGAGAAACAUCAGGCAGAAGAAUUUCUGAGGCAUUUAACUGUGAUUUUAGAAGUCAUUAUUUUUCCCUGAUUAUGCCUCCCCCCACCCCAUGUUCUGGGACCCACUCAUAGUUUUAACAAUACCUUCAAAAUCUGUUUGUCCUGAAUAGAUGAUUCACACAUACUCAGAUAUGAAAAUAAGGAAAUGUUGAAAUGUAUUAAUUAUUAGCAAUAUACAAAUUUAAAUAAUAGAAUAAUAGAAAAGAAAAUAUCCAAAAUUAAAACUCAGUAAUUAUUCUAAUGAAAUAUCUCUCUUAUUUUCCUGUUGGUAGUUUAAAUUAGGAUAAAUCCAUAGGAAAAUAAUUUGGCGCCAUCAGGAGCCAGCAAAAUGCUCUUUGACCUCAUAAUCCCCUUUCUGGGAAUCUAUCCUAAGGAGCAAUCCAAACUAUGGAGAAAGCUACACCCCUGAAACAGCAGAAACCGCAUAUGUGCCUAACAACAGGGGCAUAGUCAAUUAAUUCUCUCUCUCUUUUUUUUUUUUUGCUGGAUAGAAUGAAUGACCGUUAAAAAGACCAGUGUAGUGACAUGAUACAGUUACUGACAAUGCAAAAUUAAAAUACAUACAAAUUUGUCUUAUAAUUACAAAUAGAAAAGCAGAUGCACAGGGAAAAUAUAAAAAAUAAAAAAGCUAGAGGAAACUUACCCUAAUACCAAGAGAAGUUUAGCUAGGGUCAUGGGACUUCUUGGUGGUUUUUUCUUUUUCUAUUUUCCAAAAUUUCAGUCAUGUUAUUUAUAUUACUUUUAUUCAAAUUCUUAAUAAAAAUAUGUCUAAUUGAGUUGUUCUCCACAGCUGUGUUGAAGCUGGCCGGUGGGUUUGGAAGUGAGUGGGAGGAAAGGGGUGGAGUUAGAGCCAGCAAGCAGAACCUGCCACAGAGAGGCCUGGCCUGUCCUCUUCACACAGCUGCCCACGGAGAGGGCCAGUUCCUGAGGGAAGUAUGUCUGCCAAAGCUCUGUAAAGACAUUUGUUAGCCGAAACUCUCACAAAGGUGACCUUUAUUCAUCUGCUUCUUCAUCUGAAAUACUGGAAUAAGAGGAUUUGUCCGAGUUCCUGGCAGCCUUGUUGCCAAGGCAAUGGUGGUAAUGCACAUGAACUUGCAUUGCGUGCCCUGUACCCCACUCUCUGUUAGUUGCUCUUGUUGUAAAAUAAUCCCAAUGGUAACAUUUGAAUCUUGGCU
Molecule: long non-coding RNA, 3446 nt
Filed under: Sus scrofa (pig)
Lineage: Eukaryota; Metazoa; Chordata; Mammalia; Artiodactyla; Suidae
Description: lncRNA (ENSSSCG00050076219.1)
Source: RNAcentral